UGCAUGUGUUCACACCAGUGAUCACAUUCCCCAGUCUCUGUUGUUAGGCUCUUCUCUACUGGUUCCUGUGGUUGAUCUUCCCCUGGCUUCUGUUUUAGCCAUGGAGGUCCCAUUGACUGACUGAAUGGAGGACUGCCUGCGGAGGUCUGUGGAGCAGGUGCUCUGCUGAGUGUAACGUUCGUCUCCGCAACAAAGAAUCAUGAGGAACGCCCUUCGAAAAGCCUGGUUCAGACACAGACCUAUCCAGUGCAAUGCAGCAGAGGUGAAGGAUGGAUGCUGUGGUCAAUAAAACAUCCAUAGAGGUUCGCACCAGGCAGAAAAUUUCUCCAAAGUGCCACUGGCCGGUGGUUAGCUCGAUGGCAGCAAAGGGCAUCACAAGUAGCGCAACCAGCAGGAACCAAACAACAACCCAAAACAACCUCACCUCAGAUGCCUGUCCUUGCAGAGAGCAACCAUAACCAACAGGUUGCCAAACAUUGUCAAAAUAAUGAUGAUGGAGAGGAAGAUGGUGAGAAAAACUGUCUCCAAAGAGCUCAAGAAUUCUUGCUGCUCCUGCUGCUGUUGUUCAUUAUUUAUUACGUUGCCCAAAAAACUGUGAGAGGAAUAAGAAGUGACAAAAUAAAACAUUUUAAAAUGCAGACACAUCAGCAUAAA
Gambusia affinis (western mosquitofish) is the source of this 654-nucleotide long non-coding RNA. RefSeq lists it as uncharacterized. The transcript has 4 exons. NCBI's taxonomy places the organism in Eukaryota, Metazoa, Chordata, Actinopteri, Cyprinodontiformes, Poeciliidae. The record is from RefSeq and is a predicted model, not a curated record.